This 408-nucleotide ribosomal RNA is filed under the name uncultured microorganism. RNAcentral's name for it is "bacterial SSU rRNA". It matches the Rfam family "Bacterial small subunit ribosomal RNA", at positions 9 to 416 of the family's 1533-position model. The record is from RNAcentral.
GAGUUUGAUCCUGGCUCAGAUUGAACGCUGGCGGCAUGCCUUACACAUGCAAGUCGAACGGCAGCAUGAUCUAGCUUGCUAGAUUGAUGGCGAGUGGCGAACGGGUGAGUAAUACAUCGGAACGUGCCCUGUAGUGGGGGAUAACUAGUCGAAAGAUUAGCUAAUACCGCAUACGACCUGAGGGUGAAAGUGGGGGACCGCAAGGCCUCAUGCUAUAGGAGCGGCCGAUGUCUGAUUAGCUAGUUGGUGGGUGAAGGCCCACCAAGGCGACGAUCAGUAGCUGGUCUGAGAGGACGAUCAGCCACACUGGGACUGAGACACGGCCCAGACUCCUACGGGAGGCAGCAGUGGGAAUUUUGGACAAUGGCGAAAGCCUGAUCCAGCAAUGCCGCGUGUGUGAAGAAGGCC